RNAcentral lists this transfer RNA (72 nucleotides) under Stegodyphus mimosarum. It matches the Rfam family "tRNA". Rfam says of the family: Transfer RNA (tRNA) molecules are approximately 80 nucleotides in length. Their secondary structure includes four short double-helical elements and three loops (D, anti-codon, and T loops). Further hydrogen bonds mediate the characteristic L-shaped molecular structure. tRNAs have two regions of fundamental functional importance: the anti-codon, which is responsible for specific mRNA codon recognition, and the 3' end, to which the tRNAs corresponding amino acid is attached (by aminoacyl-tRNA synthetases). tRNAs cope with the degeneracy of the genetic code in two manners: having more than one tRNA (with a specific anti-codon) for a particular amino acid; and 'wobble' base-pairing, i.e. permitting non-standard base-pairing at the 3rd anti-codon position. The record is from Rfam by way of RNAcentral. Lineage: Eukaryota; Metazoa; Arthropoda; Arachnida; Araneae; Eresidae.
GCCUUCGUGGUGUAACGGUUAGCACACUCGGCGUGUACUCGAGAAUUGCAGGUUCGAAACCCGGCGAGGGCA